Molecule: ribosomal RNA, 458 nt
Filed under: uncultured bacterium
Lineage: Bacteria
Description: partial 16S ribosomal RNA
Rfam family: Bacterial small subunit ribosomal RNA
Source: RNAcentral
CCUACGGGUGGCAGCAGUGGGGAAUAUUGCACAAUGGGGGAAACCCUGAUGCAGCGACGCCGCGUGAGUGAAGAAGCGUUUCGGCGCGUAAAGCUCUGUCAGCGGGGAAGAAACACGGUUCGCGAGAGCCGCGGACGGUACCCGACCACGAAGCACCGGCUAACUACGUGCCAGCAGCCGCGGUAAUACGUAGGGGGCAAGCGUUGUCCGGAAUCAUUGGGCGUAAAGAGUUCGUAGGCGGCACUUAAAGUCUGGUGUGAAAGGCAGGGGCUCAACUUCUGUACGGCAGUGGAUACUGUUGAGCUAGAGUGCAGUAGAGGUAAGGGGAAUUCCUGGUGUAGCGGUGAAAUGCUUAGAGAUCAGGAGGAACAUCGGUGGCGAAAGCGGUUUACUGGGCUGUAAUUGACGCUGAGGAACGAAAGCCAGGGGAGCAAAUGGGAUUAGAUACCCGUGUAGUC